This 451-nucleotide ribosomal RNA is filed under the name uncultured bacterium. RNAcentral's name for it is "bacterial SSU rRNA". It matches the Rfam family "Bacterial small subunit ribosomal RNA", at positions 8 to 461 of the family's 1533-position model. The record is from RNAcentral.
AGAGUUUGAUCCUGGCUCAGAUUGAACGCUGGCGGCAUGCUUUACACAUGCAAGUCGAACGGCAGCACGGGCUUCGGCCUGGUGGCGAGUGGCGAACGGGUGAGUAAUGCGUCGGAACGCGCCGAGUAGUGGGGGAUAACGCAGCGAAAGCUGUGCUAAUACCGCAUACGUACUGAGGUAGAAAGUGGGGGACCUUCGGGCCUCACGCUAUUCGAGCGGCCGACGUCUGAUUAGCUAGUUGGUGGGGUAAAGGCUCACCAAGGCGACGAUCAGUAGCGGGUCUGAGAGGAUGAUCCGCCACACUGGGACUGAGACACGGCCCAGACUCCUACGGGAGGCAGCAGUGGGGAAUUUUGGACAAUGGGCGCAAGCCUGAUCCAGCCAUGCCGUGUGUCUGAAGAAGGCCUUCGGGUUGUAAAGGACUUUUGUCCGGGAGCAAAGCCUACUUGUU